RNAcentral lists this non-coding RNA (24 nucleotides) under Rattus norvegicus (Norway rat). The record is from RNAcentral. Lineage: Eukaryota; Metazoa; Chordata; Mammalia; Rodentia; Muridae.
AACACCUGGAGAAUAGGUUGUCCU